This 471-nucleotide ribosomal RNA is filed under the name uncultured bacterium. Its description in RNAcentral is "bacterial SSU rRNA". It matches the Rfam family "Bacterial small subunit ribosomal RNA", at positions 29 to 507 of the family's 1533-position model. The record is from RNAcentral.
AACGAACGCUGGCGGCGCGCCUAAUACAUGCAAGUCGAGCGAGAAGGUGUAGCAAUACACUUGUAAAGCGGCGAACGGGUGAGGAAUACAUGGGUAAUCUACCAUCGAGUGGGGAAUAACCAACCGAAAGGUUGGCUAAUACCGCGUACGCCUCCGAGUCUUCGGGUUCGGAGGGAAAGCUGCACUGUGAGUGUAGCGCUCUUUGAUGAGCUCAUGUCCUAUCAGCUUGUUGGUAGGGUAACGGCCUACCAAGGCUUUGACGGGUAGCUGGUCUGAGAGGACGAUCAGCCACACUGGCACUGCGACACGGUCCCGACUCCUACGGGGGGCAGCAGUGAGGAAUAUUGGGCAAUGGACGAAGGUCUGACCCAGCAACGCCGCGUGGAGGAUGAAGGUUUUUGGAUUGUAAACUCCUUUUGUGGGGGAAGAGUGAGGACGGUACCCCAAGAAUAAGUCACGGCUAACUACGUG